RNAcentral lists this non-coding RNA (686 nucleotides) under Tetragnatha macilenta. The record is from RNAcentral. Lineage: Eukaryota; Metazoa; Arthropoda; Arachnida; Araneae; Tetragnathidae.
AGUUAUAUUUAUAAUAUUUAAUAAAAAAAUAUUUUAAUACUUUUAAGAUUUAAAUAAAAACCUAACUUAAGAAUACAUAAAUUCUCAAAAUGAUAUAACAGAUAUAAUUUAUGUCUUUUAAAAUAAAGUGCCAGCAAUUGCGGUUACUCUUUAAGCAUAAUUAUUUUACUCCAAAUUAUUCGAAAACUAAAGAAAACUUAAAUAUUUUAAGUAAAAUUUUAUACAAAAACUUUUAUUUAUUUAAAAUAAUUGAAAUUUAAUUUUUAAAAAAGGAUUAGACACCCUUUUAUACUUCUAUAAAUUGGUAGUAUUUCUAAUAUAAACCUUAAUAUUAUGGUGGCAUUUUAUUUUAUUAGAGGAACAUGUUUUAUAAUCGAAGGUACACGAUUAAUUUUACUUAAAUCAAUAUUUUAUAUACCCCCGUCCUGAAUAAAUCUAAAUAUUCUUUUCAAAAAAAAAUUCUAAAAAUUUAGGUAAAGGUGUAAACUAAAUUUAAGAUUAAAUGUGUUACACUAAUAUUAAUUUAAGGAAUUAAUUUAAAAAAAAUUUAUGAAAAAGGAUUUAUAAGUAUUAUUUAAUUAAAAUUUUAAUUUGAAUUAAAAAAUAAAUGUGCACAUAUCGCCCGUCACCCUUACCUUAAGGUAAGGUAAGUCGUAACAUAGUUAAUGUUCUAGAAAGAGCAUUUA